Molecule: long non-coding RNA, 362 nt
Organism: Saccostrea cuccullata (small rock oyster)
Lineage: Eukaryota; Metazoa; Mollusca; Bivalvia; Ostreida; Ostreidae
Exons: 3
Source: RefSeq, a predicted model, not a curated record
UGCAGUGACGGUGGGGCCUGUGAUAUUGUCAACGGUAAAUGUCCGAAUGGUUGCUCUGUCGGAUGGACGGGUGUUUUCUGCAAACAAGAAUGUGCUUCCGGUAAAUUUGGAAUGAGAUGUGGGAGUGACUGUGGACAUUGUAAAGACGGAAUGACGUGUGAUUCUAUAAACGGGACUUGUCCUCAUGGAUGUGCACCUGGAUGGUCUGGGGCUACAUGCAGUUCACCAUGUCCUCAGGGAACUUUCGGAGAUUCCUGCAGUCAAACCUGUAGACAAUGCAAAAUUGGGUCAACCUGUGACACAGUUACUGGAUUAUGUUCUAGUGGCUGUUCUGAGAACUGGACUGGGAAGUUCUGUAAUGA